This 469-nucleotide ribosomal RNA is filed under the name uncultured bacterium. RNAcentral describes it as "bacterial SSU rRNA". It matches the Rfam family "Bacterial small subunit ribosomal RNA", at positions 390 to 859 of the family's 1533-position model. The record is from RNAcentral.
AGCCAUGCCGCGUGAAGGAUGACGGCCCUAUGGGUUGUAAACUUCUUUUAUAUGGGAAGAAACUUGUCUACGUGUAGACAACUGACGGUACUAUACGAAUAAGGAUCGGCUAACUCCGUGCCAGCAGCCGCGGUAAUACGGAGGAUCCAAGCGUUAUCCGGAUUCAUUGGGUUUAAAGGGUCCGUAGGCGGAUCUUUAAGUCAGUGGUGAAAGCCGACAGCUCAACUGUCGAACUGCCAUUGAUACUGGAAACCUUGAGUACAAAUGAAGUAGGCGGAAUGAGUCAUGUAGCGGUGAAAUGCAUAGAUAUGACUCAGAACACCGAUUGCGAAGGCAGCUUACUAACAUGUAACUGACGCUGAGGGACGAAAGCGUGGGGAGCGAACAGGAUUAGAUACCCUGGUAGUCCACGCCGUAAACGAUCAUCACUCGCUGUUGGCGAUAUACUGUCAGCGGCCAAGCGAAAGUA